Molecule: transfer RNA, 69 nt
Filed under: Ovis aries (sheep)
Lineage: Eukaryota; Metazoa; Chordata; Mammalia; Artiodactyla; Bovidae
Rfam family: tRNA
About the family: Transfer RNA (tRNA) molecules are approximately 80 nucleotides in length. Their secondary structure includes four short double-helical elements and three loops (D, anti-codon, and T loops).
Source: Rfam by way of RNAcentral
UUCCUGGCUCAAAUGGUAAAGAAUCUGCCUGCAAUGCAGGAGACCCAGGUUCGAUCCCUGGGUUGGAAA